Molecule: ribosomal RNA, 425 nt
Filed under: uncultured bacterium
Lineage: Bacteria
Description: partial 16S ribosomal RNA
Rfam family: Bacterial small subunit ribosomal RNA
Source: RNAcentral
GUUAGGAAUAUUGGACAAUGGGCGCAAGCCUGAUCCAGCCAUGCCGCGUGAGUGAUGAAGGCCUUCGGGUUGUAAAGCUCUUUAGCCGAUGAUUAUAAUGACUGUAGUCGGAAAAUAAGCCCCGGCUAACUUCGUGCCAGCAGCCGCGGUAAUACGAAGGGGGCGAGCGUUAUUCGGAAUCACUGGGCGUAAAGCGUGCGUAGGCGGUUUUGUAAGUUAGGAGUGAAAGCCCAGGGCUCAACCUUGGAAUUGCUCUUAAAACUGCAAGGCUCGAAUCUCGGAGAGGAUAGCGGAAUUUCCAGUGUAGCAGUGAAAUGCGUAGAUAUUGGAAGGAACACCAGUGGCGUAAGCGGCUAUCUGGACGAGUAUUGACGCUGAGGCACGAAAGCGUGGGGAUCAAACAGGAUUAGAUACCUGUGUAGUCC